UGAAGAAUCUGCCCUCCACUUUGGGAUAACACACGGGAAACCUGUGCUAAUACCGAAUAUUGAAACAUAAGUGGCAUCACUGAGUUUUGAAAGAAUUUCGGUGGAGGAUGACUUCGCGGCCUAUCAGCUAGUUGGUGAGGUAAUGGCUCACCAAGGCAACGACGGGUAGCCGGCCUGAGAGGGCGACCGGCCACACUGGGACUGAGACACGGCCCAGACUCCUACGGGAGGCAGCAGUGGGGAAUAUUGGGCAAUGGAGGAAACUCUGACCCAGCGACGCCGCGUGCGGGAUGAAGGCCUUCGGGUUGUAAACCGCUUUCAGUAGGGAAGAAGCGAAAGUGACGGUACCUACAAAAGAAGCACCGGCUAACUAUGUGCCAGCAGCCGCGGUAAUACAUAGGGUGCAAGCGUUGUCCGGAAUUAUUGGGCGUAAAGAGCUCGUAGGUUGUUUGUUACGUCGGAUGUG
RNAcentral lists this ribosomal RNA (466 nucleotides) under uncultured Actinomycetes bacterium. RNAcentral's name for it is "bacterial SSU rRNA". It matches the Rfam family "Bacterial small subunit ribosomal RNA", at positions 118 to 596 of the family's 1533-position model. Lineage: Bacteria; Bacillati; Actinomycetota; Actinomycetes. The record is from RNAcentral.